RNAcentral lists this ribosomal RNA (468 nucleotides) under uncultured bacterium. RNAcentral's name for it is "partial 16S ribosomal RNA". It matches the Rfam family "Bacterial small subunit ribosomal RNA", at positions 28 to 507 of the family's 1533-position model. The record is from RNAcentral.
GACGAACGCUGGCGGCGUGCUUAACACAUGCAAGUCGAACGGAAAGGCCCUGCUUUUGUGGGGUGCUCGAGUGGCGAACGGGUGAGUAACACGUGAGUAACCUGCCCUUGACUUUGGGAUAACUUCAGGAAACUGGGGCUAAUACCGGAUAGGAGCUCCUGCUGCAUGGUGGGGGUUGGAAAGUUUCGGCGGUUGGGGAUGGGAUCGCGGCUUAUCAGCUUGUUGGUGGGGUAGUGGCUUACCAAGGCUUUGACGGGUAGCCGGCCUGAGAGGGUGACCGGCCACAUUGGGACUGAGAUACGGCCCAGACUCCUACGGGAGGCAGCAGUGGGGAAUAUUGCACAAUGGGCGGAAGCCUGAUGCAGCAACGCCGCGUGCGGGAUGACGGCCUUCGGGGUGUAAACCGCUUUCGCCGGUGACGAAGCGGGAGUGACGGUAAUGGGUAAAGAAGCACCGGCUAACUACGUG